UUUCUACGAUGAUGAACUAAGAAGUAAAUUUACAUGUCAGACUUGAGAUUUUACAAUCAAAGAGAAACAGUUCUUGUUCACCGAGCAGAUU
Small nucleolar RNA from Medicago truncatula (barrel medic), 91 nucleotides. It matches the Rfam family "Small nucleolar RNA R64/Z200 family". From Rfam's summary of the family: This family of plant small nucleolar RNAs belong to the C/D class of snoRNA which contain the C (UGAUGA) and D (CUGA) box motifs. The record is from Rfam. NCBI's taxonomy places the organism in Eukaryota, Viridiplantae, Streptophyta, Magnoliopsida, Fabales, Fabaceae.